This 698-nucleotide long non-coding RNA is filed under the name Zostera marina. Its description in RNAcentral is "long non-coding RNA (ZMAR_LNC004840)". Lineage: Eukaryota; Viridiplantae; Streptophyta; Magnoliopsida; Alismatales; Zosteraceae. The record is from RNAcentral.
AUACUACACACAAACACAAACACAGAAGGAUUCUUGGUAUUCCAAUUCAGUUGGUCCUCCAAGAAGACAAAGGAGGAGUGUCCGAAUUCAUCCAAGUGUAAGUAGAAUAACUAGGCCCAUAUCUAGCCCCUUUGAUAUUAUCAGCAGAUGCAAACGAUUCAAGUUCAAACAUCUCUUUAGGAGUCAAUUUCACAGUUAGAGCUUUGAUGUUGCUUUUUAGGUUGUGGAUCUUGGUGGUUCCGGGGAUUGGACAAACAUCAGGUCCUUGGUGGUGAAUCCAUGCCAACGCCAGUUGAGAAGGUGUGCACCCCUUUCGCUUCGCCAUUUCACUAACUCGUUGAAACAUAACCUCAUUCUGUUCAGAAUUCUCCUUUUCAAACCUUGGAGUCCCCUGCAUGUGGACGUCAUUCUGUUCAGAAUUCUCCUUUUCAAACCUUGGACUCCCCUGCAUGUGGACGUUACAAUUAAGAUGAGUGUAUGUAUGUAUGUAUGUAUGUAUGUAUGUAUGUAUGUAUACCUUGCGAUAAUCAUUCUCUGAUAAAACAUCAAUAAGCUUGACACCAAGAGCGAGAAAACCUCGUCCAAGAGGAGAAUAACAUACAAUGCCUAUCCCAAGCUCUCUGAAUUGAGAUCAUUACAAAUUAGGGAAACAUGUAGUUCUAACCAUCCAUAUGAUAUUGGUUCUGAAUAUAUAUACC